GGAGUUGUAGCUCAGUGGUAGAGAGUUCCUCUCGAGAGACCCUGGGUUCAAUCCUCAGCACCA
This 63-nucleotide transfer RNA is filed under the name Marmota monax (woodchuck). RNAcentral describes it as "tRNA.Glu". Lineage: Eukaryota; Metazoa; Chordata; Mammalia; Rodentia; Sciuridae. The record is from RNAcentral.